CCAAGCAUAUAAGUCCCAGACCAGGUAGAAAACGAGCUCAAUACUGAUCUUCUGCGAGGUCGAAUUGGAGAUGGAUUUGAAGACAGAGGCCAAAUCGGAGAUGGAACCAUACAUGGGUCUUCAACGAAAAGUCCCAGAGUGUUGGAAGCUUGCAACUCGGCGCCUUGCUUCUCUCUGUGAGAAAUCAGUGAUUAAUUUGGGUUUGUUUCUGUUGACAACUACAGAUGCAGAGAGGGAAACUCUGUGUUGGAUAUUAUGUGGCUAUGACGGGGUUCUCUGCUUUGCUUAUCAGCAUUGCAACAUUUCUCCCAUGUUGUGAGAAUCAUGGAUAAAUGUUUCUUCAGAGAAUAAACAUGGUUUUCCUUUUCACAGAGACGAAGGAGCUGGUGAUAGUUUUUCUUGGAGAAAUUGAGCUCAUUUGAACAAAUAGGAAUAUCCGAUUGAGCUGGCACCCAUUUAAUCAAAUUGGGGGAUUUGAUUGAGCAAUCAGAGAUCUUUGAAGGAUUGAGCUCCGGUGUGAUUGUGGAAUCCCUGAAGGUGGUUAGCUUGCAAGGAUUUGCCUCAAUUUUGGAGCCUAACCUCUGCAGAAUUGCACGAUAUCGGCAUAUUGCUUUUGCUCCAGUCUGGCCAUGAGAAUGAGGUAUCAUUUAAUUGUGAAAGAAAGCUUUGGAGGAGAACAUAAUUGUGUAUCUGGAAACUGGUUGUGGAAAGACCUAAAUAGCCGUGUUGCUUAUGUAUGAACCAGUUGAUACUCAAACCUCAGAAGAACAUGUGUGCUAAAUCCUGAAGAUCUUUGUGGUAUAUAUGGAUCAAAUUGCUCCCAAUGGAUUAUUGCAAUGGAGUAUUAGAAAGAAUGUGGCUAUCAUGAAGCCUCAUGAAGCAGCCAAAUUAGUUGCAGAAUGAGAUUUUUCAUGUAAAAGGACACUCCCCUGAACUGAAAGAUUGAGUUUGCAAUACACCUGUUACAAGUUUUUCGUCGUUUAUAUUGCCGGGCAUACCAUUGGAAGCAUG
This is a long non-coding RNA of Rosa chinensis, 1011 nucleotides long. RefSeq lists it as uncharacterized. The transcript has 9 exons. The record is from RefSeq and is a predicted model, not a curated record. NCBI's taxonomy places the organism in Eukaryota, Viridiplantae, Streptophyta, Magnoliopsida, Rosales, Rosaceae.